GUUUUUCUCAACAGCAUCUAAAAUAUUAUUUUUAUUCAGAAAAAUAAUUUCAGUCUUUAGAACUCAAUGUCAAACAGGCUGUAGUGUACAAAACUACUAAAAUUGGAAGUUCAUGCUUGUAUUUUAAUAACUCUUGUUGGCUAAAUUGUACACCUUCAUGCAAUUUCCACAAGUGAGUAAAUCAUAGGCUCAAAGUUUGUCCACCUAAGUCUUACAAUUGUCUUCUAGACUGAAAUUUCGAGUUCAAAUCUAAUCGAUACCCAGUUAACAGAAAAAAAAAAUAUAAUAAAAUAAAAUGUUCCAAGAACUUAAUCCACCACAUGUAUCGUAUACUAAAUCACCAGCUAAAUCCCAUGUUAAUUAUCUGAUUGAUUUCAGGUGAAGUUAUUUGGGUGGUAUCUUCUUGAUGAUUAGUUGAUAUAAGACGUGGUGAACUAAAUUCACGCAACAACUUCUACUAGGCAAUAGCUGCUAUUUCUAAACUCCUACCAAACACUACAGUUCAAUCAUGGGAGACUUCGAGUACCUCAGUUUUUCAAUGGAUAACCAAAAUUUACCUUCAAAAUCUCGACUAUGCUGGAUAUUGGAACCUGACCUAGCAGAGCUUUGCGUUGAAAACUUUAUUCAAGCUAACUCUGGCUAAUACAGCAGCAUGAGCAAGCAAGAAAAUUUUAUUGGCUAUUGGUGGUUCCUAACAUAUUCUGGGACCCAGGUCCAUCCACCUCAGAAACAAUUAAUGAGGACCUUAAAUUUCCAAAAACAAGAAAAUAGGUCAUCUACCACAACCACACUUGCCACGGUAUUAUUCUUCUGUUUAUAUAUAUGAUUUUCCAUUGACAAGCAUAUGAGAAAAUUCACCCAACAACAAGAAAAUAAAUAUAAUCCAUAUUUGGUUACUGGAGCAAGAUUUCCAUGGAAUAUAACUGAAGAAAAUACGUCUUCAAAUGCUCCCCUUUUCCUUAAGUUUGUGCCCAUUAUGUCAAGCAGCGCUGCUAGUUGUUUUCCCAAUAGUCUUGAGGUCAAAGAUUUCAAUCCAAUAGCCAUCAGGAUCCUUAAUGAAAGCUAUAUCUUUCAUUUUUCCUGCAACCAAAUUAACAUAUUUAAGGCAAGUAACUACAGAACAUACUUAUUUGAAGGAUCAAGAAAAUAGCUUCGCCCCUUUGACCCAAAGAAGACCGUUUUACACAAGCACCCAUGCCACUAAUGUCAUGUUUAGCCACUGAUAAUGACAAAUUUGGCCUUACUGUAAGUGGAAGGAAAAAAGGGAGGAAUUCAUUUAACCAAAAAAAAAAAAAAGGAUAUGGCAACAAGUCACUGUUUAAUGGCUCAAGUAAAAAUCAUGUUUUAUAAUUGAAGUCCCUAAAUUCUUAAAUAGGAUCAUUCCCCUUCUAGAUCCUAAAUAAAAACAGACCUGACUCUGGAUCCAGUUAGUCCAUAGUGCUGAAUUUUCCAAAUCACACUGAUACAGGUGUUUUGGCUUUUCAUUUUCCUUACUCUUUUCCAUUAAACGCACAUGCUGACCUUGGCAUUACCAUACUUUUCACCAUUUAUUUCAAAACAACAACAACUAAGCAUUAAUCCCAAAUUACUUGGAGUCAGCGAUAUGGAUCUUUUUCUGCCAUUCAGCUCUGUUAGACCAUUUAUUUCAAAAAUAAUGAGAAAUUAAUUUUUGAGCAGACAAACAACUUGAAAUUUAGACCUUGAUGGAUGACCUAUGUUUCCAAACUAUCAACACCCAUAAAUAGGUGCCAUGAUUUUUCGACCAAUACCAAUUACAGACCAUUUGGACUAAACACUACAUUGUAUAGAAACUAACAUGUGCAGUUAAAAAAUGGCAUUAUGCUCAUCAAAUUAUACUGGGCUUAAUACAUAAAUUAGCCCAUGAACUAUGUAAGAAAAGUCUAUUGCACCCUUGACCUUUUAUUUUGACCUAUAAGACCCUCAAUCUUCUAUUUUUGACCUAUUGCAACCUUCAAUUUUAUUUUUGUAACCAAUAGACAUAAUUUUCCAAAUUGAAAUAUAUCACUUAAUAAUCUUUUUUUUUUUUACUUUAUAAUGGAUUAUAUUGGAUAAUUUAUUCAAUCAGUUAUUAUUAAUUUGAGCAAAUUUGUAAUAGCUAAACAAUAAAAAUUCAGGGGCACAAUGGGUCAAAAUAAAAGAUCAGGAAUGCAAUAGACUUUUUCCAAAUAGUUUAGGGGCUAAUUUAUGCAUUAGACCAAUUAUAUUGGCCAAGAGGUUUCUCACUAUCAUUAGG
This 2254-nucleotide unclassified non-coding RNA is filed under the name Hevea brasiliensis (rubber tree). The record is from RNAcentral. Lineage: Eukaryota; Viridiplantae; Streptophyta; Magnoliopsida; Malpighiales; Euphorbiaceae.